This 415-nucleotide ribosomal RNA is filed under the name uncultured prokaryote. RNAcentral's name for it is "bacterial SSU rRNA". It matches the Rfam family "Bacterial small subunit ribosomal RNA", at positions 505 to 918 of the family's 1533-position model. The record is from RNAcentral.
GUGUCAGCAGCCGCGGUAAAACGUAGGACGCGAGCGUUAUCCGGAUUUACUGGGCGUAAAGCGCAUGCAGGCGGCCUUGUAAGUCGGAUGUGAAAUCUCCCGGCUCAACUGGGAGGCGUCAUUCGAUACUGCAAGGCUUGAGGGCAGGAGAGGGGAGUGGAAUUCCCGGUGUAGUGGUGAAAUGCGUAGAUAUCGGGAGGAACACCAGUAGCGAAGGCGGCUCCCUGGCCUGUACCUGACGCUAAGAGGCGAAAGCGUGGGGAGCGAACGGGAUUAGAAACCCCGGUAGUCCACGCCGUAAACGAUGCGGACUAGGUGUGGGAGGUAUUGACCCCUUCCGUGCCGUAGCUAACGCGUUAAGUCCGCCGCCUGGGGACUACGGCCGCAAGGCUAAAACUUAAAUGAAUUGACGGGG